AUUGAACGCUGGCGGCAGGCCUAACACAUGCAAGUCGAACGAGUGGCGGACGGGUGAGUAAUGUCUGGGAAACUGCCUGAUGGAGGGGGCUAACUCCUGGAAACGGUAGCUAAUACCGCAUACCAUCAGAUGUGCCCAGAUGGGAUUAGCUAGUUGGUGGGGUAACGGCUCACCAAGGCGACGAUCCCUAGCUGGUCUGAGAGGGUGACCAGCCACACUGGGACUGAGACACGGUCCAGAAGCCUACGGGAGGCAGCAGUGGGGAAUAUUGCACAAUGGGAGCAAGCCUGAUGCAGCCAUGCCGCGUGGAUGAAGAAGGCCUUCGGGUUGUAAAGUACGUUCAGCGAGGAGGCGUUACCCGCAGAAGAAGCACCGGCUAACUCCGUGCCAGCAGCCGCGGUAAUUU
RNAcentral lists this ribosomal RNA (406 nucleotides) under uncultured bacterium. RNAcentral's name for it is "partial 16S ribosomal RNA". It matches the Rfam family "Bacterial small subunit ribosomal RNA", at positions 30 to 526 of the family's 1533-position model. The record is from RNAcentral.